This is a long non-coding RNA of Entelurus aequoreus (snake pipefish), 424 nucleotides long. RefSeq lists it as uncharacterized. The transcript has 3 exons. NCBI's taxonomy places the organism in Eukaryota, Metazoa, Chordata, Actinopteri, Syngnathiformes, Syngnathidae. The record is from RefSeq and is a predicted model, not a curated record.
UAAGCCAAAGAAAGACGGGAUACCGACAUUGUCUGAUUGUCGCCCGCAGGUUGGAAGGAAAAUAAAUGAAGCUGUGAACAGUGGAAAAAGCCUCAUCAUUGUGCCGACCCAGAACAGUUACACUGGUGCCGUGAACCUUCAGAUCUUUAGAUCGGCUUGAUGCUCAUCGCCGCGGAUGCUGCGCUGCUCUCCUGAUCUACAGUUGAUGAUUAUUGUGUGGUCGGAUCUCAAAACAGUGUGUUUGGAGAGAACCCAGUAGACUACUGGAUAAGACUGAACAAAGCAGCAGACCUGGCUCUUGAGGGUCUUCACAGACAAGGAAAACGGGCAGAGAACAUUGUAAGCCACUUCAUGAGUGGACGUCCCGUGAUGUUCAACAGAGAAUCGAUGACUACCAGGGAGAGUCAAGGGCUAAUAGAAGGGC